UGAGGGUGUCAGCAGGUGACG
RNAcentral lists this microRNA (21 nucleotides) under Homo sapiens (human). RNAcentral's name for it is "hsa-miR-6804-5p". Lineage: Eukaryota; Metazoa; Chordata; Mammalia; Primates; Hominidae. The record is from miRBase by way of RNAcentral.